Molecule: unclassified non-coding RNA, 357 nt
Filed under: Hevea brasiliensis (rubber tree)
Lineage: Eukaryota; Viridiplantae; Streptophyta; Magnoliopsida; Malpighiales; Euphorbiaceae
Source: RNAcentral
AAAGAAAGCCGCCAAAUAAAAUGUGCUCUAAUUAUACAGUACAAAACCCACAGCAAGAGUUCCUCUUCCUCUCUCUCUGCUAGUGCUAUUCUCUCUCUCUCGCUUCCAUGGCUUUUGCUGCUUCGAUCUCUAACACAUCUUGUAUUCUCUCUUCAAGCGCAUUGUCUCUCGAUACCAACCACAAGAAGAAGAUCUCUCCUUCUUCAUGCUCAGCUUUAUCUUCUCUCUCUCGUUCUCCUCUUUUCAGGAACAAACAGCUGAAGAAUUUGCUUGGCCAUUGUUUCAGGACAGGUUUUGUUUCCCAAUGGGGAAGAAUGGAUUCGGCAUUUGGCAAUGUCUCUUCUUCAGUUAAAGCUG